UACGUAGGGGGCGAGCGUUGUCCGGAAUUAUUGGGCGUAAAGAGCGUGUAGGCGGUUCGGUAAGUCUGCCGUGAAAACCCAGGGCUCAACCCUGGGCGUGCGGUGGAUACUGCCGGGCUAGAGGGUGGUAGAGGCGAGUGGAAUUCCCGGUGUAGCGGUGAAAUGCGCAGAUAUCGGGAGGAACACCAGUAGCGAAGGCGGCUCGCUGGGCCACACCUGACGCUGAGACGCGAAAGCGUGGGGAGCAAACAGA
Molecule: ribosomal RNA, 253 nt
Filed under: uncultured bacterium
Lineage: Bacteria
Description: partial 16S ribosomal RNA
Rfam family: Bacterial small subunit ribosomal RNA
Source: RNAcentral